This 540-nucleotide ribosomal RNA is filed under the name Bifidobacterium longum subsp. suillum. RNAcentral's name for it is "bacterial SSU rRNA". It matches the Rfam family "Bacterial small subunit ribosomal RNA", at positions 157 to 710 of the family's 1533-position model. The record is from RNAcentral. Lineage: Bacteria; Bacillati; Actinomycetota; Actinomycetes; Bifidobacteriales; Bifidobacteriaceae.
CGGGUGGUAAUGCCGGAUGCUCCAGUUGAUCGCAUGGUCUUCUGGGAAAGCUUUCGCGGUAUGGGAUGGGGUCGCGUCCUAUCAGCUUGACGGCGGGGUAACGGCCCACCGUGGCUUCGACGGGUAGCCGGCCUGAGAGGGCGACCGGCCACAUUGGGACUGAGAUACGGCCCAGACUCCUACGGGAGGCAGCAGUGGGGAAUAUUGCACAAUGGGCGCAAGCCUGAUGCAGCGACGCCGCGUGAGGGAUGGAGGCCUUCGGGUUGUAAACCUCUUUUAUCGGGGAGCAAGCGAGAGUGAGUUUACCCGUUGAAUAAGCACCGGCUAACUACGUGCCAGCAGCCGCGGUAAUACGUAGGGUGCAAGCGUUAUCCGGAAUUAUUGGGCGUAAAGGGCUCGUAGGCGGUUCGUCGCGUCCGGUGUGAAAGUCCAUCGCUUAACGGUGGAUCCGCGCCGGGUACGGGCGGGCUUGAGUGCGGUAGGGGAGACUGGAAUUCCCGGUGUAACGGUGGAAUGUGUAGAUAUCGAAAAAAAAACACC